Molecule: transfer RNA, 67 nt
Filed under: Lithobates okaloosae (Florida bog frog)
Lineage: Eukaryota; Metazoa; Chordata; Amphibia; Anura; Ranidae
Description: Rana okaloosae (Florida bog frog) tRNA-Ser
Source: RNAcentral
GAGCCUGCCUGGGGUAAUGAGAACUGCUAAUUCCUCACAUCCAUGGUUCGAUUCCAUGGUUUGCUCA